Molecule: small RNA, 107 nt
Filed under: Marmota monax (woodchuck)
Lineage: Eukaryota; Metazoa; Chordata; Mammalia; Rodentia; Sciuridae
Source: RNAcentral
GCUGGGUGUGGUGGCGCACGCCUGUAAUCCCAGAAACCUGAGAGGCUGAGGCAGGAGGAUCAUGAGUUCAGGGCCAGUCUCAGCAAUUUAGUGAGACUCUGUCCCUA